Molecule: ribosomal RNA, 500 nt
Filed under: uncultured bacterium
Lineage: Bacteria
Description: partial 16S ribosomal RNA
Rfam family: Bacterial small subunit ribosomal RNA
Source: RNAcentral
AUUGAACGCUGGCGGCAUGCCUUACACAUGCAAGUCGAACGGCAGCACGGGAGCAAUCCUGGUGGCGAGUGGCGAACGGGUGAGUAAUAUAUCGGAACGUGCCCAGUCGUGGGGGAUAACGUAGCGAAAGCUACGCUAAUACCGCAUACGAUCUACGGAUGAAAGCGGGGGAUCGCAAGACCCCGCGCGAUUGGAGCGGCCGAUAUCAGAUUAGGUAGUUGGUGGGGUAAAGGCUCACCAAGCCGACGAUCUGUAGCUGGUCUGAGAGGACGACCAGCCACACUGGGACUGAGACACGGCCCAGACUCCUACGGGAGGCAGCAGUGGGGAAUUUUGGACAAUGGGCGCAAGCCUGAUCCAGCCAUUCCGCGUGCAGGAUGAAGGCCCUCGGGUUGUAAACUGCUUUUGUACAGAACGAAAAGGUUUCUACUAAUACUAGGAGCUCAUGACGGUACUGUAAGAAUAAGCACCGGCUAACUACGUGCCAGCCGCCGCGGUAA